AAGAACACCAAAGAGAACGGGAAUAACGCCUCUUCUCCCGAUUCGUGCCAUAUAAAAUUCAGAGAAUCGUUAAACCGGGCGAAUCAGUGUGACAUAUUGAGGCAUUACCCGGUCUGCUGGAUUAAACUAUUAUCGAUUUCGGAUUAAUUAACCUACACGGCAUUUCUUCCCCACCGAUCUAUUUCCAACCGUCCAAAAUCCAAAUUAGACCAUCCCCUAUUUGUUAUCUACUCACUUCUUACACUUUAUAUAUAUAUAAAUUUAUAUUUGGUAUACUAUUAUAUAUGUAACAACUAGCGACACCUAUUGAAUAUUUUGAAGUCAUAAGAAGAGUACCGAUCGAUAAAGAAGAGAGCAGUAGAACAAAGUUGUUGUUGUUAAUGAAUGUAGUUAUAAAAGUAAAACAAACGAAAAACAAGUAAUAAAUGGACAAACGAUAAAGCCCCUUUUAUUUACUAUAAAGUAGCGUUGCGAUAAAAACGUGAAUACGACAAAAAUGAGGGAAGAAAACACAGAAAAAUUCUACGCAACGGAUAUGGCGGUAAACUCAACGGCCAUUGAAGAAUUGGAGACGAUCGAUAAAACAGGUGAUGUAACGGAAAACGAAAUAGCAUACAAAAUACAUAGAAACAAAAGAUUUAAUGAGUCUACAUAAAUCGUCGUAUCUACAUUUUUCCUAAUUUUCAACCUAAAUGCAAAUUCUUGAAUAUGGGUGUUAUUUCUACCUAUUUGGCUAAGAACGUCCUAGCUGCUUUUAAAGUUGCUAAAAUAUACCUAAACAUAUCAUCCUAUCUCCAGUAUUAAUACAUUUCCUAAGUGAGAAAAUCCUAUCUGAUAUUUACUAAAGUAAAUAAUCCUAACUAGCUUUGUUCAGUCUUAUGACUAUGUACAUGAGUACUCAAUGUGAGGGCUUUGCUACGUUAAAAUGUCCGAUGUUACCACGUGCUAUGUUAAAUUGGAAAAGAAUGCGAAUCUUAAACUGUCUUACGAGCUAUAUAGAAAAGAAAUAAGAGCAAUGAAUAUUUCAUUUGCGAGACUUGGGAAUGAGGAAUGUUUUGAAUGUGAAAAGUUUAACUUACACUCAACAACUACUCUUCAUCAAAAAAACAAUUUACCCGAAGAUUGCGACUCAUGCAUGUUAUAGAAAAGGCAUAAGGAAAAAUACAAUAUUGCCAGGGUGGAAUACCAAAAGGAUGGGAAACAAUUCAUAACUGAUAAAUUGGUGGUAUCCGGUGAUCAUGCUGCCACUGUCAUUUCAAGACUGAUUGCCUUUAAUGAGUCCUUUGUACCAGUUGGUCAAUAUACAAAGUCCACGAAACCUCUGACGGUGGUGUGGCACGAAGCAAUCCGAGGAAGAAAAAAGAAGAUUUGAUUUCAACAUUUUAUGCGUUUCUAUUGAGAAAUAGAGACGUGUCUAACAUAACAAUUUGGCUGGACAAUUGUGCAGCCCAAAACAAGAAUUGGGCUUUAUUCUGUUUUUAUAUCUACGCUGUCAAUAACUGUUCAGAAUUGGCCUUGAAAACUUUGGAAAUAAAAUACUUUCAGUCAGGACAUACAUUUAUGUCGGCAGACGCGUUCCACCAUCAGGUGGAAAAAUCACUUAAGAGAAUGGGGAAGGAUUACACUUUGAUGAUUUCAAACGUGCAGUUAACGAUGCAAACUCUUCUAAAGUUGACAUUAAAGACAUGACUAUCAAAGACUUUUUUGACUGGAAAGAUUAACCAUAUUUGCAAGAUAUGUCACAUUUGGUAUUUAGGGAAGGAGAAUACGUAAUGUGGUAUAAAAACUUUCUUGACGAUGAUUUUGUCAAACUAAAUUUUCUGACAGCCAAACACUUCAAGGAAGAAAUGCCGAAGCCUACUUCCAAACAUGAAUGCCGAGGAAUAUCCGAGACGAGGAAAAAUGACCUGAUCUCAAAACUACGGCCAAUUAUUCCUGAAAACCGUCUUAAACUUUGGGAGUAUAUAUAUAUACUCCAUAUGUGCUGACGGCAAUAACGAUGACGAAUUUAUGGAUGAGGUGUAAUAAGUUUUUAUUUUAUUAUUAUUAAAUUAUUUUUGAGGAUUUGAACAUUUUAGUUUCCGGCUGAUAGGAUACAAUUGUUUUACCACUCCUAUCAUAUAUUAUUUAGUAGCAUUCCUUUUUCUUUACAGUUUUCUAUAUUUUAGGUGUAAUUUUACUAAGACAUAACAUCUUAUCUGCACAUUUUUCUACAUAAUUCAGUUAUAACUAAACUUACACUUUUUUAAUCGUAAAUAAUGAAAAUAUCCAUACGCUUUGAGAUGGCAUGCAAAGAUUGAAAAAUAAAUGUUGAAAGAUAUGGACAGCGAUUAAUUUUCCCUUUAAACUGAAUUAUCUCAGUUUCAACAUUUUGUUACUUAGGAUGAUUUCAGUAAGGACGGCAGAAAUAUCAAAUAAAGUAUAUCAAAAACGGUAUCAAUGAUAAAGAUUUAGCGAAAACACUUGCUUUGAAUGAUGUUGAUCAAAAAAAUCAAACAAUACGAAAGUGUUAUAAAAAUGACGCCACCCACACAAAAACCAAAUAUUCCUCAAAAAACUAAUGGAAAAGAAAAUGAGAAACCUGUAACGCAAGCAAAAAAAUGCUAUAAUUGUAAUGAAAUGGGACACUUUUCAGAAAAAGGCCCAAAACCGCAAAAAAAAGAAAUGUUUCAAUUGCAAUAAAGUGAGUCACAUCGUCAGAGAUUGCAAAGAUGGUGAACAAAAUUAAAAAGGUUGAUCGCAAAGUAGUGCAAGUUUGUAGAAAACCAUUUGACAGAAGGUCGCAGACAAACUAAAAAUAGUAUAUACGCUAUUCACCAUUCAACUGAAGGGAUUUGGAGGUGAAUUAGGAAGAACAAUCGGAAGAUGCCAAAGUUAAUCUAUGAUAAUUUUCAAGAAGACGCCAUAAUUGUAGGAAAUAGUGCUUUUUACGACCUCAAUAUUAAAAUAAUUAAACAUGGAAACUCUUUGUCAGUACAACGAUGCAUCACUCUUAAAGCCGAGGAUGAACUCAUUUUAGAAAAGCCAGAACAAAAGAAAGGUAUAAACGAAGAAACAAUGAUGAUUGACGAAGAUACAGAAAACUCAGAAAACAGAAGAAGACAACGACGGAAAGAAAGAUGAAAAUAUAGAAAAUAAAUGCUCGAUCCCAUGGCGUAGUAGAUAAGUCCUUAAUAAACAAGACAAGCAAUGAUUAAAAGAAGUAACCAAAAGACCAAUUUUAACGAUAUACUAUCCAGAAACAGAUUUUGAAAUGCAUACCGAUGCCUGCAAGAUGAGAAUAGCUGGAAUAUUAUUAACGGAAUUGGAGAGUCGUUAUCACAGCUACGAACUGGAAAUUCUAACCGUUACAGAGACCUUAGAAAGAUUUCGAACGUACGUGGUAGGUCGAGAAUUUAAAGUGGUAAGCGAUUGUAUUUUUUUAAAAACCAUCAUGAAAAAGAAAGACUUGAUGCAGCAGAGAAUAGCACGAUGGGUGUUGAAACUCCAAGAAUACGACUUUAAUAUUAAAUAUCGCCCAGGAACUCAGAUGGCUCAUGUAGAUGCAUUGAGUAGGAGUUCAAAUGAACGUAUUAUUGGACGUAUUAACAGUACAAAUUGAUGACCAAUUAACGAUGCAACUCCAAGA
Molecule: long non-coding RNA, 3628 nt
Organism: Onthophagus taurus
Lineage: Eukaryota; Metazoa; Arthropoda; Insecta; Coleoptera; Scarabaeidae
Source: RefSeq, a predicted model, not a curated record